AGAGGCAGACUCGUUGGCCAAUUGGAUCCAUGUCACGUAGUACAGAUUCACACCACAAUGAUUCACAGUCACUUCCAUCCCAUCAUCCAACCCCAAACCCAGUCCCGCCACAUCCCUAGCAUCCUGAAGAGGACUUGAUCCACUCACAAUCCAACCCUCAAGACUCACAUAGUGAGCAAGAAGGUACAAACUCCAUGUCAUCUACGGCCAAGAAAGGAAGAGGAAUAUCAAGACAAAUUUCAAAGUGGGGAAAGGAAAAGAUUCGUAUUGAAUUUGAUGCUGAAGGACAACCAGUUGGGGAGAUGGCAACUAAGUUGUAAACCCAACUAGGUGUGAUGGUAAGGAGUAUUGCUCCCCUUACAUUUGCUGAUUGGAGAUCACCAGGGAUGGAACCAUAUAAGGAGCGCAUCUGGCAAGAGGUCUUGGAUAACAUUGAUGUACCCACAACAUGGAGAUCAAUUUGGUUGCAACAUGCUUCCAAGAAGUGGAGAGAGUACAAAGCCACCUUGAAGAGGCAUUAUGAUUGCCAUGAGACAGAUGCAACUCAUCUGUCAAAAAUACCGCCUGGGGUGGACCCAGAAUAGUGGAAGGUUCUUAUGGAGUAUUGGGGAUGUGAGCAAGCACUCUAUACCUAGUUCUAAUAUCAUAUUACAAGUAGGAACGUAGUGGGACAAAUCGUGUCAAUCGAGAUAAGCAAA
Long non-coding RNA from Diospyros lotus (date-plum), 698 nucleotides. RefSeq lists it as uncharacterized. The transcript has 3 exons. NCBI's taxonomy places the organism in Eukaryota, Viridiplantae, Streptophyta, Magnoliopsida, Ericales, Ebenaceae. The record is from RefSeq and is a predicted model, not a curated record.